RNAcentral lists this transfer RNA (73 nucleotides) under Camelus bactrianus (Bactrian camel). It matches the Rfam family "tRNA". Rfam says of the family: Transfer RNA (tRNA) molecules are approximately 80 nucleotides in length. RNAcentral also lists the same sequence under 2 other names. The record is from Rfam by way of RNAcentral. Lineage: Eukaryota; Metazoa; Chordata; Mammalia; Artiodactyla; Camelidae.
GAAGGUAUAGCUCAAAUGGUAGAGUGCAUGCCUAGUACGCACAAGGUACUGAGUUCAAUCCCUAGUACCUCUU